GGCCUUUUGGGAAGUGAUUAAGUCAUGAGGACUCCACCCUUAUGAAUGGAUUACUACCUGUAUAAAAGAGGCUUCAGAGAGAGUUUGCCCCUCUUGCCUUCCACCUGCUGCUAUAUGAGGACACAGCAGCAAGGUGCCAUCUUGGAAGCAGAGAACAGCCCUCGCCAGACACCAAAAUUGGUGGCUUCAGAACCGUAAGAAGAAUGGUCACACUGUUUUCCAAAGUGACUGCACCAUUUCAUAUUUCUACCAGCAACAUCAUCAUCUUCCUUUUACAGAUGAAGAAACUCAUAUCAUGGAAAAGCAUGGAUGAAAUCCUCUGACCACCCUACAUUUAAAGGACCUUUAAAGAGAAAGAACUGACAGUGUAAGUGGAAAAAGAGCAACUGGAAGUAGCAGGAGAAGGAAAAACCAUUAUCAUACAACUGGUGGGAAGAAGGAAUGUCAAAAACAUCAGUGUGAAAAUAAUUGCAGUAAAACGAAAAGGAAAGGCAACAUGAUUAACAAACCUCAG
RNAcentral lists this long non-coding RNA (514 nucleotides) under Homo sapiens (human). RNAcentral describes it as "HSALNT0370288". The record is from RNAcentral. Lineage: Eukaryota; Metazoa; Chordata; Mammalia; Primates; Hominidae.